Molecule: transfer RNA, 64 nt
Filed under: Limbodessus palmulaoides
Lineage: Eukaryota; Metazoa; Arthropoda; Insecta; Coleoptera; Dytiscidae
Description: tRNA-Trp
Source: RNAcentral
AAGGAUUUAAGUUAAAAAAACUAAUAGCCUUCAAAGCUAUAAAUAGAGGGAGCUUUAAGCCUUA